GGGGGCGACAUGGCUUCGACGGGGGUUGCGAAGCGGAUGAGGGCAUGCCGGGAUCUCAGUCACCCCGUAAAACACUGAACAGAAAUAGUCGCAAACGACGAAACUUACGCACUGGCUGCUUAAUCCAGCCGGUCGCUGCACACACUGGCCUGUCGGUGUGGCAGGGUAACCUGCAGCAGCGUCAUUCUCAGCAGGAUCGCGUACGGUCGGGUCACUUGAUCGGACGCUAAACUUAAGGUGACUCGUUGCUGUCAAGCCUGUCGGUCGGCGUGCCAGCACCUAAACUCAAGUUGGCCAGACUAAGCAUGUAGAACUCACUGUAGAGGACUUCCGGACGCGGGUUCGAUCCCCGCCGCCUCCACCA
RNAcentral lists this transfer-messenger RNA (364 nucleotides) under Burkholderiaceae bacterium DAT-1. It matches the Rfam family "transfer-messenger RNA". Rfam says of the family: Bacterial tmRNA, also known as 10Sa RNA or SsrA, is named for its dual tRNA and mRNA-like properties. Its role is to liberate the mRNA from a stalled ribosome. To accomplish this part of the tmRNA is used as a reading frame that ends in a translation stop signal. Lineage: Bacteria; Pseudomonadati; Pseudomonadota; Betaproteobacteria; Burkholderiales; Burkholderiaceae. RNAcentral also lists the same sequence under 2 other names. The record is from RNAcentral.